GUUCAAUCUAUCUAAAUCAGAUAUCUUAAUCAGAAUAAAGAGAAAUGUGGCACAUGGUAUACCAAUACGCUAUCAUUCAAAAUCAAAUUCCUUGCAUAUAUACAUGAUUGUGCAAACAUGAUACUAUCUCGACCGCUCGAUUGGAAUAAAUUUAAGCGGCACUGACUGAGAGAUGCAUCAAAUGGUGGUACUCCCGAAAAAUCGAUAGUAUGACACGAGAGACAACAUCAUUUGUUUGCCUAGAACUGUUGCCUCACAACCACAAUGUUAAAUACACACGAGAUGAAAGCAUGCCCCACCAUAAAAAUAGUAGAGAACUCAAACAGGGCUGGUUAGUCAAAGACAUGCUCUUUUGGAACAACAAACCAAAAAAGCUGAAUCCGAACUCUCUCAAAUGCAAAUCGAUUAGGGUCCAUACCUCAAUUAAUAAUCAUGCAAAUCGCACUAGGAUUCUCUCAGAUUGACCAAUAACAGAAGCAAAUCGAUACUGGAAGUCACUUGGGCAAAACAUCAAACACCUGAUGAACAAGAAAUUCGAAGUGCUCGGGACAGAAUAUUCAACAAGUCGUCGAUGAGGAGAAGAAAAUGAGGUGUUCAUUUAAAACAUUAUCGUAGACGAAUCGAUGAAAGCAGGCAAUAGAAGAGGGAUACGUUGCCAGAGCCAUCCCUGGUCGAGAUUGAUGAUCGCCUGAAGGAGAGAGAUCAUAAUGGACGGUAACGCCGGGACCUAGAACUGUCAAAGGGAGGAAUAGACCUAGAUUGUGUACUUCGGCAGCGAUGAAUCUGAAAUAGGGGCGAACAUAGGCUCUUCACAGCCACAGAACUGGUGGCGAUCGGGCGGCUCUCAAUAGUUGUAAUUGACGCGACUGAGAGGAAAUAAAGAUGGAGAAUCCUCCGGAAACCGAUUCUCUGAGAGAGAAUUCUCUCCCUGAGCUCCCCCUGUGCCCCCCGCUCUGCUCUUUGCGGACGAGCUCUCUGCGAUGACUGCGUUUGUCGACAGGCCGGCGGUGGACGAUCGGCGAUGACUAGCGGUGGCCUCGGGGCGAUGGAGAGGGGAUCGCCAUGAGAAGCUGCGUGACCCCGAGAUAGUCGGACUGGUUUAAUGGGCCUGUGGGUUUAAUGUGUUUGAUCUCUGGGCCGAG
RNAcentral lists this long non-coding RNA (1142 nucleotides) under Eucalyptus grandis. RNAcentral's name for it is "long non-coding RNA (EGRA_LNC007735)". Lineage: Eukaryota; Viridiplantae; Streptophyta; Magnoliopsida; Myrtales; Myrtaceae. The record is from RNAcentral.